UAAUGUCAUUUUGAUGGCUGUUUAUUUGUUAGAUUUAACGUAUCCUUGUUUUGGGCAGCUUCUGGGAUGUUUCCAAGAUAUUUGCGGAUUUGGGCAAUAAGUUUUAUUAUUUAAAAAGUUUAUUUUAGUUCUGCAGUCUUUUCAUAGCAAUGCAAAGUACUUUUGACUUUAUUAAUGUUAAUUUUUAUCAAAGUUAAUUUGUUUAAUUAUUUUCUUGGUUAUGAAAAAUAAUUUAAUAUAAAUAAAUUAAGGUAUUAAACUGCAUGAAUUAUUUUUGUUUAAUUAAACUUUUAUUAUCAUAAAAAUGUUCAAGGUUAGUUUGAGGAAUUAUUUGGAAAUCGGAAAAAUGGAAAUUGAUCCCUCUUAGAGAUAUUGGCUAUAAAACAAAUUCAAAAUAGUGAAUUUUGAGUUUUAUAAUGCUAUUUUGUUCAGAUAUCUCAGCACCAGAAAAAACACCAAAUUUGUUUAUGCUGCAUUUAUACUUCUUGUAUUGAAGAUGCAUACCUAAAAAUUUCAAAUUUUUAAUUCACUGUAUGUUGUGCCAAUUUUCGGUCCGUAAAUUGACCAAUAAGUUCCCUGAAAUAGACUAAGUCUUUAAUAUUUGAAAUUAUUUUGAAAGAAAAAAUUAUUUGUUAUUAAGUUGAAAUUCUGAAGAAAUAUUUUUGGUCCAUAAAACCUACAGGAGGUAUACAUUUCAAGAAAAUAAAACAUUGUCACGCGAGAAGGCUUGGCUCAUCUUAUAUGGAAUGACCCUAUUAUAUGCUUAUGAUAUAUAAACUUUAUACUAUAAUAGUAUGAUUUUCGUAUUAUAUUAUAUGAUAUUUUUAUAAUAAAUUUUUUCUAGUAAUAUAAUAUAAAUUAGUGUAGUAUUAUUAAACUAAUUAAAUUGUGCCAAAUAAUGUUGUUUAAUAAUGUUGUUUAAUACUUGUGUAAUAAUGGUGUUUACCUCUUACCGUCUGACCUGUCUGUUUAUUAUUACUGUUUUUAACAUUAAUUUUGUAUUGCAAGUAUUAAAAAAUGUUAAAUAUACUAUUUGUAAAAUUAAAGUAGUAUAAACUAAUAAUAACUGCUUUACUUAUUUCUUCAAUAGUUAAUAGUUGAAAAUAAUAAAGGCUGUUGUUGUCAAAUUUCUUGGGGAAAGAAAAUUGUUAUUGCUUGUAAUAUUACUGACAUUUUAACUAAUGUGUGAUUCACUACAUGAAUACUUAUGCCAAAGUUUAUAUGGUCCACAAGUUAUCUUUAA
Hydra vulgaris (swiftwater hydra) is the source of this 1243-nucleotide long non-coding RNA. RefSeq lists it as uncharacterized. Lineage: Eukaryota; Metazoa; Cnidaria; Hydrozoa; Anthoathecata; Hydridae. The record is from RefSeq and is a predicted model, not a curated record.